Podarcis lilfordi (Lilford's wall lizard) is the source of this 3237-nucleotide non-coding RNA. NCBI's taxonomy places the organism in Eukaryota, Metazoa, Chordata, Lepidosauria, Squamata, Lacertidae. The record is from the annotation of a GenBank genome assembly.
GACCAGUGAUGGAUGCAGACAUAGCUCCACUUGCUCCAGCUUUAAGCAUGUGCCUGAAACUGGUUAUAUUGUAAAUAUAAGUAUUUUGCCUGCAUAGUUUGUACUGCUGAUAUUGUUGUGAACCAGUGCAUGAUUAUAAAGUAAGUGCAUCUUAUUUUUGAACUUACUUCUCAGAUUGUUGCCUGAUUUUUUGUUAAGUGGGAUGAGGAGGGGAAGCUGGCCGAUUUCAUAGCUGGACUUGCUCAAACCAAGGUUUUACAGCCUAAUUCCGAUGCUUUCAGUUUUGCUGCCAAGCAUGGGAUUUUAAAACUCUGUUUAACCCACACACAUGGGGGCCUGGAGGAAUAAAUUGCAAUUGCAAUAUAUCCUCUCCUGCCCAUAAAAACCCAUCCCAGCUCUACAAGAUUUUCCAAUGAAACCUGCUCCUCAGAGGUUGCUAAAGAUUUCUUCCUAUGGAGGCAUAGCAACCAGACAAAACACAUAAGUAGUUUCCCCCACAGCUGGCAAAAUUCUGCAACAGCUUGUUGCUGCUGUGCUGGUUGGCACAAAACAUGAGCCAGAGACUGGCUAGAACAAGAGAAAUCCUAGGGCAAACUUUGCUUGCCAAUCCCCACAUAAACAAACAGGUACCUUCCCUACCAUAUUUUUGCCUCAUGUGCAAUAAAGCAGCUUGGAGGUUUUAAAAAGACCAAAUCCUGAUGCGGGAGGCCUCUUUGCUUCAAAUGAACGUACAGUGGUACCUCGGGUUACAGACGCUUCAGGUUACAGACUCCACUAACCCAGAAAUAUUAUCUCAGGUUAAGAACUUUGCUUCAGGAUGAGAACAGAAAUCGUGCAGCAGCGGCACCGGGAGACCGCAUUGGCUAAAGUGGUACCUCAGAAGAGUUUCAGGUUAAGAACGGACCUCCAGAACAAAUUCAGUUCUUAACCCGAGGCACCACUGUAUUUCCAAGUAAUAUCACAGUGUGGGGUCGUAAUACAGGCGAUGACCUACGAAGGCUGUUCCUGCAUUUUACCACAAAUGGGAGGAUUGAUUCUCCAUAUUAAAAACAAUACAACAAAACUCUCCACACCUGGAAAGCUAAGAUGUCAGAGAUAAGAGUUCUAGCUCACGCCCUGAUAUGCAGAAAGGGAUAUUUUCCAUAAGAAACAUCCAACCAUGUGUUACUCUAUAUGCAGUACACUGAAACAGGGUUACCCCAUCAAAUGCUGUUUCAAUGGAGACUGCCCAAUUCUCUCACAUGACAGACCUCCAAAAAUGUCCAUAUUGCUAAAUUCUUCCAGCUGCAAAAUCGUAGCCAAGAAUGACUGGCUACUUGCAAAACACUUCAGGUCAGUACAAAUUCCUUUUUCUACUACUCCUCAACAGACAGAUUAAAAACAAAACAAAAACCCUUCACAAAUUAAUUAAAAGAUGAAUGUAAUAAAAAUGGGGUGGGGAGGAGAAAAAAUGAGCUGAUGUCUCCAUUCUCCAAAAUUUUUUUAGUGGAGAAGCAUUAAUUGCAGCUUUGGGCAAAUUCUUCUUAAAUACCUAAGAGCUUUCAGCAUAUUAUAAAGCACGCUUCAUACUUUAAUGCAAACAUCUUUCUAAUUGCUUUGGUAGAAAUCCAGGGGUUAUUUUCCUUCCAAGUCUUAUAGAAACAAAUAUUGCUUCCAUUUCAUUUGUUACACAAGCCUGUCUUAAUAAACAUGUUUUUCAUCUUCAGUUUGAAAUAAGACAUGAGAGAUUUGAGCUAAAACUUAAGUUGACUGUAAUCUGUAAGCCUGUAAUGGACCUGAAUUACUGGCCAGACCAGAGUUAGCCAACUUGGUGUUGUCCAGAUACACAUCUCCCAUCAAUCCUCGCCAGAAAAUUUCAGAGCCUUUGUUGUAAUAGGUUAUAGAGAUUAUUAUUUGUGUCUCUUCAAUGGACAUGGCUGCCCAUCAGUAACAUGCUUUGUAAAAGCAGUGGCAGGCUGUGUGGUGAGGCAGAGCCGCCCUCUAGACACCAGCUUCUCUGAAUGGAACUGGGCCAGGGUGGUCGUGAAAAGAUGGAGCUAUGCAUUUGUGUUGUCAGGAGCACCACCAGCCAAUCCAUUGCUCCCAGAUGUGCGAUUGUGCAGCCUUGUCUUUUCAACCAGCUCAUCUGCCCCACCACAAGUGCCACUACCAUAGCAAUGGGUAUGCCAGUCUCAGUUCUCAGGUCAACCUCUGCCCAAGAGUAUUUCUAAGAGAAAAAGGUUGAGCAAACCAUAUCAAUGAUCCAACCACGUGAAUUACAAAUACUUGUUUGUGGUUGCAGCAGUUAGUCUAGGGCAGGCUUCCUCAAACUCGGCCCUCCAGAUGUUUUUGGCCUACAACUCCCAUGAUCCCUAGCUAGCAGGACCAGUGGUCAGGGAUGAUGGGAAUUGUAGUCUCAAAACAUCUGGAGGGCCCUGUUUGAGGAUGCCUGGUCUAGGGGGGUGGCUGAUCUUGUUUAUUUCAUUUUUUUCUUUGGUAUAAUUCUGCCUUAGCAGCCAAAAGAUGCUGAAUCAGAAUCAGAAGAUUCUUUACAGUGGUACCUCGGGUUACAGACGCUUCAGGUUACAGACUCCGCUAACCCAGAAAUAGUACCUCAGGUUAAGAACUUUGCUUCAGAAUAAGAACAGAAAUCCCGCUUUAAGAACAGACCUCUGGAACGAAUUAAGUUCUUAACCAGAGGUACCACUGUAUUUGCAUCAGCCACUAGCCAUAAAUAUAAAAUAAAAUAAAAUAAAAUAAAAUGUACUGAAGAUAGAGGUAAAAGCUUAACUAUACAAAAUCCAUUUUGGAGGUUUACAUCAAUAAUCAAAUAAUAGAUCUUAUUCUAAUUGCCCCUGCUAAUUUUUUUAUUUUUGCAGUUUUUGCUGUCACCUGAUCAUCUUGAUCUGCUAAAAGGCUGAGCGACCCAGCAUGGACAAUAAUAGAGGGGUAAUAACCUCACUCCUCAAAUCUUUAUAAAGAGUGCAGCCCAGAAGCACAUGAGCCACUGACUCAACACUGCCAUCUUCACAUGGACAUAACCGUUUUUCCAGUGGAAUUUUUUGAAAUCAACCCUCAAGUACAGCCGAAGGCAGCAUAUUCAAUCUUGUGAAAGUGAAAGCACAUCUGUAUUUUGGAACUGUUAAAUUUUGCAAAUAGGGUGCCAAAGUGAAAAAAUGAAUAGGUGGAAAGUAAUCAUACCAUGGACAAAAUGUCUUUAUUGUGGCCAAAUUAUUCUGUCGCUCGAUAUCAUAUAGG